GAUCAUAACUCAGGAUAAACGCUAGCGGCAGGCCUAACACAUGCAAGUCGAGGGGCAGGCGGGUGGAGUAUUUCGGUACUCCUGCCGGCGACCGGCGCACGGGUGCGUAACGCGUAUGCAACCUACCUUUAACAGGGGGAUAAUCCGAAGAAAUUUGGUCUAAUACCCCAUAAUAUCAUUUAAGGCAUCUUAGAUGGUUGAAAAUUCCGAUGGUUAGAGAUGGGCAUGCGUUGUAUUAGCUAGUUGGUGAGGUAACGG
This 258-nucleotide ribosomal RNA is filed under the name uncultured bacterium. Its description in RNAcentral is "partial 16S ribosomal RNA". It matches the Rfam family "Bacterial small subunit ribosomal RNA", at positions 15 to 263 of the family's 1533-position model. The record is from RNAcentral.